This 523-nucleotide long non-coding RNA is filed under the name Nicotiana tabacum (common tobacco). RNAcentral describes it as "long non-coding RNA (NTAB_LNC017055)". Lineage: Eukaryota; Viridiplantae; Streptophyta; Magnoliopsida; Solanales; Solanaceae. The record is from RNAcentral.
ACCGAAAUCAAACAAAUCAUUCUAAUCACAGCCUAAAAUCACUUCAGAAUAAUCAAGACACAGGACUUGCUCCUCAAAGAAAGAGAGUAAAAUUACCAGUUCCACCAUCGCCAACAAUAACAAGUUUAAAACUGGGAUAAUCCACGGCUUGCUGACCUGGAAGAGCCUACACCCAAAAACGAUACGCAUAAAUCACAGGUCAUUCAGAUACAUCAAAAAUAACCACAAAACCCCCCACAAAGCGACAAAAGAAAAAGCUAAAAGCAUAACACUACAAAAAUAGCCAACAAAACAAAAUUUUUGAGCAUCAAAGAUAGCGUACUAACCAUGUUGUUUUGAGGAGAAUGCUGCGAGGGUUUUGAGAGGAAUGAGGAGGAUUAAGGAGGAGGGAUAUAUAUAGUUGGGAGCAAAAGGGUUUUGUAAUCAGUGUUUCCGUUCACAUCAUAGCUUUGCCCUGACGCGAUUCUCUGGACCGUUGGAUCAGUCUGUUUCUCGAUUCGGCGCUGCCGCACGUGACUCUCAC